UCUCCGUUGGUGAACCAGCGGAGGGAUCAUUACUGAGUUACCGCUCUAUAACCCUUUGUGAACAUACCUAACUGUUGCUUCGGCGGGCAGAGGUCCCUCGCGGAUCUCUCCCGGCAACGCCCUCACGGGCGGAGCGCCCGCCGGAGGAUACCAAACUCUAUUUUAACGACGUUUCUUCUGAGUGGAACAAGCAAAUAAUUAAAACUUUUAACAACGGAUCUCUUGGUUCUG
This 231-nucleotide unclassified non-coding RNA is filed under the name plant metagenome. RNAcentral's name for it is "partial contains small subunit ribosomal RNA, internal transcribed spacer 1, and 5.8S ribosomal RNA". The record is from RNAcentral.